Molecule: ribosomal RNA, 254 nt
Filed under: uncultured bacterium
Lineage: Bacteria
Description: partial 16S ribosomal RNA
Rfam family: Bacterial small subunit ribosomal RNA
Source: RNAcentral
UACGUAGGGCGCAAGCGUUAUCCGGAAUUAUUGGGCGUAAAGAGCCCGUAGGCGGUGUGUCGCGUCGGCCGUGAAAACCUGCAGCUUAACUGUGGGCUUGCGGUCGAUACGGGCAUCACUGGAGUUCGGCAGGGGAGACUGGAAUUCCUGGUGUAGCGGUGAAAUGCGCAGAUAUCAGGAAGAACACCCGUGGCGAAGGCGGUUCUCUGGGACGGUACUGACGCUGAGACGCGAAAGCGUGGGGAGCAAACAGG